UUUUUGAGAUGAAGUCUCGUUCUUGUCCCCCAGGCUGGAGUGCAAUGGCAUGAUCUCAGCUCACUGCAACCUCUGCCUCCCGGGUUCAAGCAAUUCUCCUGUCUCAGCCUCCUGAGUAGCUGGAUUACAGAUGUAUACAAUUUUGAGUUUCAAAACACACCUGGCCCCAAAGAUUUCAGACAACAAACUGUGGACCCAUAUCUUCCUCAUAGGAUCAUGACAACAGCAUGAAACAAUGCAAGUAGAAUUUCUGGAAUACCCUAUGUUAAUGCCAUUUCCCUUCCCCUUUUCCCUGAAGAGUCUUUUCUAAGGCACCAACUACUUCCUUCAAGCAGCAGCCAGAGAUCUUUGCUUAAUGGCUGGUAAGGUUUUUCUAAACUUUUGGCAUCUAUAUCUGUUGGUCCAACUUGCCUAUUAGUCUGUAAACUCCUUCAGGGUAGGGAUUGUGUUCCACACCCUGUACAAGCAGCACCAGGGGGCAGUCUCAGGGUGGAAGGAGUUUUUUUUGUGUGCAGAGUGGAAGGGGAGGGGGGUUCACUAAAAGGAGAGAAGAGGGUGCCUAGAAAGGCAGACUUGAGGGGUGGAGGAGACAGAAGUGAGGCUAGCAAAAACCUAGAUCCCCUUAGCAAUGAUUAAGAGCAUAGUCUUUGGAAUCAAUAGACAUGAGGCUACAUGCCAGCUGUAUAACUUAUUGACUGUCUAACAUAUUGUAGUGGGUUAAAUUGUGGCCUCUAAAAAGAUACAUCCAUGUCUUAACUCUAGGAACUUAUGAAUGUGACUCUUAGAAAAAGAGUCUUUGUAGAUGUAAUUAACUUAAGGCUCUCGAGAGGAGAUCACCCUGGAUUAUUCUGGUGGGUCCUAAAUCCAAUGACAAAUAUCUUUAUAAGAGAAACACAGAGGAGAGACCCAGAGAGAAGGAGAAGGCCGCAUGAAGAUGGAGCAGAGACUGGAGUUAUUCAGCCAAGUCAAGGAAUGCCUGGAGCACCAGAAGCCGGAAGAGGCAAGGAAGGAUCCUCCCUUAGAGCAUUUGGAAGAGUGUGGCCCUGCCAACACCUUGACUUCAAACUUCUGGCCUCCAUAACUAUGAAAUAAAUUCUUGUUGUUUUAAGCCACCAAGUUUGUGGUAACUUUUCUUUUCCCAUUAAAAAAAGAACCGUAAUAUUUUUUCAUGACCCUGUCCCAGAAAACUCUUCUGUACUCACAUGGC
RNAcentral lists this long non-coding RNA (1207 nucleotides) under Homo sapiens (human). RNAcentral's name for it is "non-protein coding LINC01702:20". Lineage: Eukaryota; Metazoa; Chordata; Mammalia; Primates; Hominidae. The record is from RNAcentral.